RNAcentral lists this long non-coding RNA (1062 nucleotides) under Struthio camelus australis. Its description in RNAcentral is "lncRNA (ENSSCUG00000010383.1)". The record is from RNAcentral. Lineage: Eukaryota; Metazoa; Chordata; Aves; Struthioniformes; Struthionidae.
UGACCCGGGCGUGCUGCAUGCCUGCCGAGGUCUUUUCUCACCUGCUGAAGGCACCCUCUCUGCUCGUGUCUUGUCAGAUAGAGGUUUAUGAGGUUUUUUUACCCCGAUUUUUGGCGCUCAGACAAGCGCUCCCCUGCAGACUACUCUUUUCCUCCUUCCUAAGUGCCAACCCUCCGUGGCUGUGCCCUGCCUCCCGAUGCUGGCCGUGCGCCCACGAGGGGGUGCGCACGAGAGGCAGCUCCUCCUCCUCCUCUUCUUCUCCUUCUUCUUCUUUUUCUUCCCCGUCCGCUGCUCGGACUAAAUACGGCGGGGCUGAUGAGCCUGUGCGGUGUUCGCUUGCGCUCUCCUGCCCCCCGUUACUACCCCUCGCAUCUUUGAUCUUUCCAAGUUUAUACAUAUGUUUUUCUUUUAAUUACAUCAUGGCUAUCAUCGGGCCCUUUCUACAACUCCCACGUUGUUCGGUAGACACAGCGCAGUGUUUUUAGGAACCUAUAAAAGCCGAUAAUUUGCAUCCAGAGGCCAUGGUCGUAGGCAGCAUUCAGGCAAGCGAAACAACUGCCUCGAUAACUUUAUGGCCGGUACAUGCGCCGCAUCGUGUAGCGCGCUGUAGUGCUGCAGACGCGGAGGAGCGCGAGCCUGGCUCCUGCCUUCUCGUGCCUCCCUCGCAGGCUGCGCCGCGUGCACCGUUUCAUGAAGCCGUGGACGGGAGACGUCGUUAGGGCUAGAAACCUGGAGUCUCGCGUCCAGACCGCCUCUGCUGCCAGCGAGUUUCAGCUCGAGCGCCUGCCACGUGCUGCAGACCCCUUCCCUCCUCCCAAGCUUGAUCCUGGUUUUUCUCUGCUUUACCCCAACUUUUUGCACCCUGCUGGCAAGGUUUCUGAGGUCCUUUCCUUAUUGGCCUUAACAACUGCCUUAAGCAGCUUUGAAAAUCUCGCCGGGGAAGAGCCUACUCAUGGCCAGCCUGGCUGGGGGGGGGGGGAGACUGAGAUGCUCUGAAAGGGAGAAAACGUUCUCCCUCUUUAAAGGUGAAAUAAAGGCUUUAGUUUGGCAUUUGUUGUGUCA